GGGGCGGUGGUCUAGUUUGGUCCAAGAUCCCGGUCUCGGGAGCCGGAGAUCGCGGGUUCAAAAUGUUAUCUUGAUACAUGAGCGUCCCGCCCGCCCCA
RNAcentral lists this transfer RNA (98 nucleotides) under Candidatus Bathyarchaeota archaeon. RNAcentral describes it as "tRNA-Pro". It matches the Rfam family "tRNA". Rfam says of the family: Transfer RNA (tRNA) molecules are approximately 80 nucleotides in length. Their secondary structure includes four short double-helical elements and three loops (D, anti-codon, and T loops). RNAcentral also lists the same sequence under 1 other name. The record is from RNAcentral. Lineage: Archaea; Thermoproteati; Candidatus Bathyarchaeota.